UGCUUCAGAGGAGGCUUUUCUGAGGCUGCUGCCAGUGGUCAACGUCUCCAACAAAGCUCUACUAAGUGGCUGCAACCUCUCAGACAGAAGCUGUAAGGCUCUGUCCUCAAUUCUGACCUCCCCGUCCUCUAGUCUGAUGGAGCUGGACCUGAGUAACAAUGAUCUGCGAGAUUUAGGAGCGAAACUUCUGUCUGCAGGACUGGAGAGUCCAUAUUGUACACUGGAAACUCUCAGUCUAUCAGGCUGUCUGAUCACAGAGGAAGGCUGUACUUCUCUGGCUUCAGCUUUGAGCUCCAA
This is a long non-coding RNA of Oreochromis niloticus (Nile tilapia), 297 nucleotides long. RefSeq lists it as uncharacterized. The record is from RefSeq and is a predicted model, not a curated record. The transcript has 3 exons. Lineage: Eukaryota; Metazoa; Chordata; Actinopteri; Cichliformes; Cichlidae.